GAUGAACGCUAGCGACAGGCCUAACACAUGCAAGUCGAGGGGCAGCACAAGGAGCAAUCUGAGGUGGCGACCGGCGCACGGGUGAGUAACACGUAUGCAACCUACCCGUAAGAGGGGGAUAACCCGUUGAAAGACGGACUAAUACCGCAUAAUACUGAAUAACCGCAUGGUUAAUCAGUUAAACAUUUAUGGCUUACAGAUGGGCAUGCGCAUGAUUAGCUAGUUGGUGAGGUAACGGCUCACCAAGGCAACGAUCAUUAGGGGUUCUGAGAGGAAGGUCCCCCACACUGGUACUGAGACACGGGACCAGACUCCUACGGGAGGCAGCAGUGAGGAAUAUUGGUCAAUGGGCGAGAGCCUGAACCAGCCAAGUCGCGUGAAGGAUGAAGGUUUUAUGAAUUGUAAACUUCUUUUGCAGGGGAAUAAAGUGCGGUACGUGUACCGUUUGUAUGUACUCUGCGAAUAAGGAUCGGCUAACUCCGUGCCAGCAGCCG
This 494-nucleotide ribosomal RNA is filed under the name uncultured bacterium. Its description in RNAcentral is "bacterial SSU rRNA". It matches the Rfam family "Bacterial small subunit ribosomal RNA", at positions 28 to 517 of the family's 1533-position model. The record is from RNAcentral.